Molecule: non-coding RNA, 165 nt
Organism: Spirodela intermedia
Lineage: Eukaryota; Viridiplantae; Streptophyta; Magnoliopsida; Alismatales; Araceae
Source: the annotation of a GenBank genome assembly
GUCAAGAUGCCCGAGUUGGUCUAAGGCGCCAGUUUCAGGUACUGGUCGGAAAGGGCAUGGGUUCGAAUGUAGAUUCAGCAUCUUCGUCUAUCAACAGAUGUGAUGUCUUCUCAGCUUAAGGUGCUGAUCACAGCGACAUGGAUUCAGUGAGUCCCAUUCUCGACA